This 403-nucleotide ribosomal RNA is filed under the name uncultured bacterium. RNAcentral describes it as "bacterial SSU rRNA". It matches the Rfam family "Bacterial small subunit ribosomal RNA", at positions 355 to 775 of the family's 1533-position model. The record is from RNAcentral.
UGGGGAAUAUUGCACAAUGGGGGAAACCCUGAUGCAGCGACGCCGCGUGGAGGAUGACGGCCUUCGGGUUGUAAACUCCUUUUGUCAGGGACAAUGGUGAUGGUACCUGACGAAUAAGCCACGGCUAACUCUGUGCCAGCAGCCGCGGUAAGACAGAGGUGGCGAGCGUUGUUCGGAAUUCCUGGGCUUAAAGGGCGCGUGGGCGGUGGUGUAAGUCUGGGGUGGAAUGCUACAGUUCAACUGUAGAGCGGCCUUGGAAACUGCAUUACUUGAGUCGGUGAGGGGAAGGCGGAAUUCCUGGUGUAGCGGUGAAAUGCGUAGAUAUCAGGAGGAAGGUCUGUGGCGAAGGCGGCCUUCUGGCACUUGACUGACGCUGAGGCGCGAAAGCGUGGGGAGCAAACAG